RNAcentral lists this ribosomal RNA (469 nucleotides) under uncultured Pseudomonadota bacterium. RNAcentral describes it as "bacterial SSU rRNA". It matches the Rfam family "Bacterial small subunit ribosomal RNA", at positions 8 to 522 of the family's 1533-position model. The record is from RNAcentral. Lineage: Bacteria; Pseudomonadati; Pseudomonadota.
AGAGUUUGAUCUGGCUCAGAGCGAACGCUGGCGGCAGGCCUAACACAUGCAAGUCGAGCGGCCGUAGCAAUACGGCAGCGGCAGACGGGAGAGUAACACGUGGGAACGCGCCCUUCGGUUCGGGAUAACCCAGGGAAACUUGGGCUAAUACCGGAUACGCCCUUACGGGGAAAGAUUUAUUGCCGAAGGAACGGCCCGCGUCCGAUUAGCUAGUUGGUGAGGUAAUGGCUCACCAAGGCGACGAUCGGUAGCUGGUCUGAGAGGAUGACCAGCCUCACUGGGACUGAGACACGGCCCAGACUCCUACGGGAGGCAGCAGUGGGGAAUAUUGGACAAUGGGCGCAAGCCUGAUCCAGCCAUGCCGCGUGGGUGAUGAAGGCCCUAGGGUUGUAAAGCCCUUUCAGCGGGGAAGAUAAUGACGGUACCCGCAGAAGAAGCCCCGGCUAACUUCGUGCCAGCAGCCGCGGUA